This 300-nucleotide small nuclear RNA is filed under the name Anolis carolinensis (green anole). RNAcentral's name for it is "7SK RNA". It matches the Rfam family "7SK RNA". Rfam says of the family: 7SK was discovered as an abundant small nuclear RNA in the mid-70s but a possible function has only recently been suggested. Two independent studies have found that 7SK RNA binds the CDK9/cyclin T complex (known as elongation factor P-TEFb). The record is from Rfam by way of RNAcentral. Lineage: Eukaryota; Metazoa; Chordata; Lepidosauria; Squamata; Anolidae.
GGUUGUGAGGGCGAUCUGGCUGCGACAUCUGUCACCCCAUUGAUCGCCAUGGUUGAUUAGGCUGAUCUGGCUGGCUAGGUGGGUGUCCCCUUCCUCCCUCACCGCUCCAUGUGCGUCCCUCCUGAAGCUUCGUGCUCGGUGGAAGAGGACGACAUCCCAGGUAUAGAAGGAGUGUACCGAAGUCUCCAGUCUUUGGUCCCGGGUAUACGAUAGCUGCGCUCCCCUGCUAGAACCUCCAAACAAGCUCAAGUUUCCUGUUCCUGGCGGCCAAGCCGAGCUGUGACUUCCGAGUAGACCCUC